GACGAACGCUGGCGGCGUGCUUAACACAUGCAAGUCGAGCGGUAAGGCCCUUUCGGGGGUACACGAGCGGCGAACGGGUGAGUAACACGUGGGUGACCUGCCCUCAGCUCUGGGAUAAGCCUGGGAAACCGGGUCUAAUACUGGAUAUGACUCCAUGACGCAUGUUGUGGGGUGGAAAGCCUUGUGCGGCUGAGGAUGGGCCCGCGGCCUAUCAGCUUGUUGGUGGGGUGANGGCCUACCAAGGCGACGACGGGUAGCCGGCCGGAGAGGGCGACCGGCCACACUGGGACUGAGACACGGCCCAGACUCCUACGGGAGGCAGCAGUGGGGAAUCUUGCGCAAUGGGCGAAAGCCUGAACGCAGCGACGCCGCGUGAGGGAUGACGGCCUGG
This 391-nucleotide ribosomal RNA is filed under the name uncultured bacterium. RNAcentral's name for it is "bacterial SSU rRNA". It matches the Rfam family "Bacterial small subunit ribosomal RNA", at positions 28 to 419 of the family's 1533-position model. The record is from RNAcentral.